GAUGAACGCUGGCGGCGUGCCUAAUACAUGCAAGUCGAGCGAACAGACGAGGAGCUUGCUCCUCUGACGUUAGCGGCGGACGGGUGAGUAACACGUGGAUAACCUACCUAUAAGACUGGGAUAACUUCGGGAAACCGGAGCUAAUACCGGAUAAUAUAUUGAACCGCAUGGUUCAAUAGUGAAAGACGGUUUUGCUGUCACUUAUAGAUGGAUCCGCGCCGCAUUAGCUAGUUGGUAAGGUAACGGCUUACCAAGGCAACGAUGCCUAGCCGACCUGAGAGGGUGAUCGGCCACACUGGAACUGAGACACGGUCCAGACUCCUACGGGAGGCAGCAGUAGGGAAUCUUCCGCAAAGGGCGAAAGCCUGACGGAGCAACGCCGCGUGAGUGAUGAAGGUCUUCGGAUCGUAAAACUCUGUUAUUAGGGAAGAACAAAUGUGUAAGUAACUAUGCACGUCUUGACGGUACCUAAUCAGAAAGCCACGGCUAACUACGUG
Molecule: ribosomal RNA, 497 nt
Filed under: uncultured bacterium
Lineage: Bacteria
Description: partial 16S ribosomal RNA
Rfam family: Bacterial small subunit ribosomal RNA
Source: RNAcentral